This 775-nucleotide ribosomal RNA is filed under the name uncultured Cortinarius. Its description in RNAcentral is "eukaryotic LSU rRNA". The stretch from base 266 to 419 matches the Rfam family "5.8S ribosomal RNA". The record is from RNAcentral. Lineage: Eukaryota; Fungi; Basidiomycota; Agaricomycetes; Agaricales; Cortinariaceae.
AUAGGUUACCCUGCUGUAGGAUAAUUUUUGAAAUAAACCUGAUGAGUUGUUUUGGUUCUUUCUAGAGAGCAUUUUGCUCGCUUGUCAUCCUUAUGUCUCCACCUGUUCACAUUUUUUAGAACUGGAUAACUCUGUGAUAUGCCAACCACAGCAUUUUAGGUUGGAGGAAUUUGACUUUGUUGUCUUUCCUUACAUUUCUAGGUCUAUGUUCUUUUUCAUAUAAUCUUAUUGUGAUAUAAUGGACCCUAUAUAAUAUAAACUAUACAACUUUCUGCAACGGAUCUCUUGGCUCUCGCAUCGAUGAAGAACGCAGCGAAAUGCGAUAAGUAAUGGGAAUUGCAGAAUUCAGUGAAUCAUCGAAUCUUUGAACGCACCUUGCGCUCCUUGGUAUUCCGAGGAGCAUUCCUGUUUGAGUGUCAUUAAUAUAUCAACCUCUUUUAAAUUUUGAGUGUUUGGAUGUGGGGGUGUUAUUUUGCUGGCCUUUUCUAAAGGUCAGCACCCUGAAAUGUAUUAGCGGAACAAUUUGUUGACCGUUCAUUGGUGUGAUAGCAUAUCUACGCUAUUGACGUGAAGCAAGUUCAGCUUUAUAUAACAGUCCAUUGACUUGGACAAUUCUCUAUUUAUUAAUGUGACCUCAAAUCAGGUAGGACUUCCGCUGAACUUAAGCAUAUCAAUAAGCGGAGGAAAAGAUACUAACAAGGAUUCCCCUAGUAACUGCGAGUGAAGCGGGAAAAGCUCAAAUUUAAAAUUUGUCAGUCUUUGGCUGUCCUGUUAU